This is a long non-coding RNA of Micropterus dolomieu (smallmouth bass), 345 nucleotides long. RefSeq lists it as uncharacterized. The transcript has 3 exons. The record is from RefSeq and is a predicted model, not a curated record. Lineage: Eukaryota; Metazoa; Chordata; Actinopteri; Centrarchiformes; Centrarchidae.
AUUCGCUCUGUCUAGUGUUGUCGUAUGUUCUGCAAGUUGCUGCAUUACCUGUUCUGGAUUUUGGAUGUACCAGUUUCCUGUACCCAGCUUGGCGGCCUGUGAUCGGUUGUCCCUUGUGGCCUUGUCCUGGGGCAACACAUACAUCACCUCUGAAUCCAUUGCAGUGGAAUGUCUCCAUUAGGGGGGGAAAAGGCUCCAAGCUAGCUUCAUAGUCACAAGUUCAUCAGAGCAAUUUCCUGGAGUCUUGAAUACAGGCAGGAAAUGAGAAGGGGAUGAUUUAAUUCAACAGUUCUUAGGUAUGUAGAUGUGAGGCACUUCACUAAAACAAAGGAAUUGUAGUGGAGA